RNAcentral lists this long non-coding RNA (345 nucleotides) under Bos mutus (wild yak). RNAcentral's name for it is "lncRNA (ENSBMUG00000006064.1)". The record is from RNAcentral. Lineage: Eukaryota; Metazoa; Chordata; Mammalia; Artiodactyla; Bovidae.
CCAUUGUUUUUCUUCCCUGUGGCCCUGGGGCUGGGGCCUGGGUGAGCAGCGAGGGAGGUUGUCCUCUGGACUCCUGGGAAUUGACCACCAGCAUGCGCUGCUCCGCUGACAAGGGAAAGGGCCCUCUGGCCCGCACAGCAUGGAUAUGGGCAGAACGGUUUUUCCUAACUAGGCCUUCUGGGUUGCAGCAGAACAGCAUGUGUCUGCUUCUCAAAUGUAACAGGGCAAGAUGUUCAGGUCUUGUGUCCUCUGUGAAGCAGGGCUGCAAGGACCCCUUACCAAGGAGAAGGUGAGGAGAAGUAAUAGUGGAAAUAUCUAUCAGAACAGUAAAGAUAGGCACAGCUC